RNAcentral lists this long non-coding RNA (395 nucleotides) under Zostera marina. RNAcentral describes it as "long non-coding RNA (ZMAR_LNC002521)". The record is from RNAcentral. Lineage: Eukaryota; Viridiplantae; Streptophyta; Magnoliopsida; Alismatales; Zosteraceae.
UGGAGACAGAUUCGCUGGCUGAUAUUGCGAUCCACAGAAUCGCAGGUGCCCAGAAAUGCGAAUCCCGUGUAGAAUCUCACGGGCUUCAAGCGCAGAAGUUAUUGAAAAUGGAUGCGCAGUCUCGUUCUGAGGCACGAGAGGCGCAUUGACAGAAACUUCUUCGAAAGACCCCUCGUCAGUAUCACAGAGGGGCAACAUCCUGAUCUCACCACCCGGCAGAGCUUCACAGUGUGCGUAGACGGUGUGGUUCUCAACUCCCUCGUAAAAUGGGAGGUUUAUAUGGUCUCCAUCCUUGUCCAUUUCCAUAGGAGGAGGAGGAGUGUUCGAUCUAUCAUCGCGGCUUCGGCUCGGGCCGCGUUCAACUGGUAUGUCCUGAGUGUAGUCAAAGGGCUCAG